CUUUUUGUCCACAGCGGCAUACUGCGCGAAACCUCGUAGAUGUGAAUAUUAGAAAAUCGCGAAUGAGCAUUUAAGUUCCCGAACGUAUAUGCCGUGACGUGAAAUUGUAGAACCUUUCCCGAGUUCGCCGAGUUGAUGCGAGAAUACUCAAUGCUCUCCGUAACGUUCUCCGUUGAUUGUAGUGUAUGUUAAAUUAUGAGCCGAGAAUAAAAGACCCAAGCAUCGUGGGGGUAUCACAGAUUCCUUUAAAUGCGAGUCAGCGAUGCACAAUUACACAUUUGCCAGCUGUCCCAGGAUUGGCAGAAGACGAACGUAUCUCGUAUAAGAUUUUAGCCGAUAAACACUUUUUGCAAAUUGAAUUUUAGAGAACUUUACAAAUAAAUGACAGAGUGUUACUAAUUUGUUAAAUGGCCAAAUUUCAAAUGAGCUUUGCUUCGAUUACAAUUAAAGGUUUAAAAAGAGAUAUUGAUUCUCGUUUCUUUUGCGGGAAUUCUGGGACAGGCAGGAUAUCCGACCAGUUUGAGACUACUGCGUUUAAUUAGCGCUUUAAUACAACAUACAUCUCCAGAUAUAUGAAGAGAUAUUCAAUUCGACCUACAUAUAAUGCGGUAUAACUCUUAGCGAAGCUAAUGAAGAUUUGCGUGUAUAAAAUUCUAAUUUCCUUAUAACUAAGACUUAGGAAGCAAAGUCGUAUUUAACUAAUAGCAACGAGGGGACGAGCUUAGGUUUUAGGCGAUGUUUAUAACUGUAGAACCGUAGAAACGAGUGGAAGAGUUUGAAAGGUAACAUAACAGAGCCACUGGUAGCCGGCCUUCCGGCGAUGACUGACUGAAUGAAGACGAUGACUGAGGUAAACGUAAGGCUACGGAAAACAUCCGCUGGUCCUCGAAACAGUCACAAGCCACAAACGAGAGCCACGGAGAUGAGCGAUGAUUACCAACGAUUUCGGGAAAACGUGAGUCUGUUUCGUUUGAAAAGAGAGAAAUAAAGAUGUCACAUACCCUGCGGCAGCACCUUUUAACUGUCCUCAUUUUCUCGUUCGCAUCCUGGGAGAACAAGUAGAAUCCGGCCGUUCGAGACAACCGGAUUUGCAAGCCAGAAUCUUGGGUGAAUAUAUAUGUGGAUGGUUGAUGUCCGUGAACGUGCCUUCUUGGAUGGACAGAAAACGAACGAGCAAGUGUUGGCAAAGUUUUUGAGAUGCAAGUGGAAAGACGCGAAAGAGCGAGCGAGCGAGAGCGAAAGAAAGAAAGGUGAAAGGAUCUGAAGAUGAGAGAGUAAAAGGGGAGAGAGAGAGCGAGAGAGGAGUAUAUAUUUUUGCAGGAUAAUUUGGUGGGAUGAUGAUGAUAAUGAUGAUGAUGAUGAUGAUGAUGAUGCACUGCGCCGAGAGAAGUUGCGCUAGACAAGUGUGGAGCGAGUGCUUUUUGAAAGCGUGGGGGAGUUUUUUCAUUGUAAGAGCGCGACUCGUAAUCGGUGAUGGUUGAUCGCGAUUGAGCUGAUUAAUUCGUCUUCUUGCGAAAGAAGAGACAAAUGAUGCUUCUGAGACAGAUACGGAAAGUUACGUUUGGAAAAGUCUAUUUAUGUUUUGGAGAUGUCCUAUUGAUUUAGAGAUGUAACUGAUGACAUAAGAUGCGACGAAACAAUACACGCAAGAUUGAAAUAAUUAUUAAUAUUUGACAUAUUGAACAUGUGAAGACUUUCAGGAGGCAUAAUGAAUAUUUAAUCCCAAGAAAGAUCGUAUAAAUAACAUAAUAUAUAUCAU
This 1759-nucleotide long non-coding RNA is filed under the name Pogonomyrmex barbatus (red harvester ant). RNAcentral's name for it is "uncharacterized LOC105430819, transcript variant X2". The record is from RNAcentral. Lineage: Eukaryota; Metazoa; Arthropoda; Insecta; Hymenoptera; Formicidae.